AGAGGGUGCAAGCGUCAAUCGGAGUUACUGGGCGUAAAGGGCGCGUAGGCUGAUAUUUUAGUCGGGUGUGAAAUCCCUGGGCUCAACCUAGGAAUUGCAUUCGAUACUGAAUGUCUUGAGUAUGGUAGAGGAAAGUGGAAUUCUCGGUGUAGUGGUUAAAUACGUAGAUAUCGAGAAGAACAUCGGUGGCGAAGGCGACUUUCUGGGCCAAUACUGACGCUGAGGCGCGAAAGCGUGGGGGGAGCAAACAGGAUUAGAUACCCUGGUAGUCCACACUGUAAACGAUGAGAACAGAUGUUGCUGGGUUUUACUCGGCAGUAUCGUAGCUAACGCAUUAAGUUCUCCGCCUGGGAGUACGGUCGCAAGAUUA
This 370-nucleotide ribosomal RNA is filed under the name uncultured organism. Its description in RNAcentral is "partial 16S ribosomal RNA". It matches the Rfam family "Bacterial small subunit ribosomal RNA", at positions 527 to 896 of the family's 1533-position model. The record is from RNAcentral.